CCCUAUAGAAAAUCCCCUAUGGAAAAUCCCAGUUCCCCUAUAGAAAGUUCCAGAUUCCUGUGGCCGAAGCUCCCGGAUCAGAGCCCAGGGUCGAUUUCCCAUCUUGAAUUUAAUUAAAAUUUCCUCGUUUCUCUCCUUUAAUUAAACUCUAAUAAAGAUUUUAAUUGAAAUAAAA
Molecule: long non-coding RNA, 175 nt
Organism: Catharus ustulatus (Swainson's thrush)
Lineage: Eukaryota; Metazoa; Chordata; Aves; Passeriformes; Turdidae
Exons: 2
Source: RefSeq, a predicted model, not a curated record